This 392-nucleotide ribosomal RNA is filed under the name uncultured bacterium. RNAcentral describes it as "partial 16S ribosomal RNA". It matches the Rfam family "Bacterial small subunit ribosomal RNA", at positions 523 to 918 of the family's 1533-position model. The record is from RNAcentral.
AUACGGAGGAUCCGAGCGUUAUCCGGAUUUAUUGGGUUUAAAGGGUGCGCAGACGGCCAUUUAAGUCAGCGGUUAAAUCGUGGGGCUCAACCCCAUUCUGCCGUUGAUACUGGGUGGCUUGAUUGCGGUCGAGGUUGGCGGAAUUCGUUGUGUAGCGGUGAAAUGCAUAGAUAUGACGAAGAACACCGAUUGCGUAGGCAGCUGACCAGACCGCAAAUGACGCUCAUGCACGAAAGUGCGGGGAUCGAACAGGAUUAGAUACCCUGGUAGUCCGCACAGUAAACGAUGAAUACUUGUUUUCGGCGAUAUAAUGUCGGAGGCAAAGCGAAAGCGAUAAGUAUUCCACCUGGGGAGUACGCCGGCAACGGUGAAACUUAAAGGAAUUGACGGGG